AUAAACCAGCGGCGGUAGCCGCGGGUGGUCCGUAACGAUGAGCUAAACGCCGGUGAACCGCGUCCACGCAGAGCGGCCGGGAUGUAUCGUCUCAGCAUCGGCCGGAGAGCAUUUCCGAUCAGAGGCCGACGUCGCCGAGACAUCUUGCAUAUUAGCAAACGCUCCCUGAGCGAUAUCGUCCCGAUGGAAUUUUGUAGGUCGGCUCGACAUCGGCACAACGUAUGUGUGCUGUCUGGGUCGCAUUCGAAGGCUGCAUACGUCAUCGUGGUUGUCUCAUUUCAGAAAAGCAAGUAGCACACUCCGAAUGAGACCUUCGAAUGCGACCUUUUUUCACAGGAAUUCGAAGGAUACAUGAGGUGUAUCCUUCGCUGCUACAAAUAACCCACAAUCCCUUGCGUCGCCAUAAAUAACCGUUGUUUAUUUGAAAAAAUGGCGGCGGCAGAUCUACACACAAGCGAUGUGGUGUUUAAAUGGAGCAAGGAAAAUACAAAGACGUUUAUAAGAUUAAGGCAGGAACAUUCUGAUCUCUUCACUGGAGCUAAAAAUACAGCCUUAUAUGGUUGGAGAUUUAUUCUGGAGAAAAUGGACCUUUCCAGUAAAAUAACACCAGUGCAAGCUAAGAAAAAGUGGGACAAUUAAAAAAAAAAAGUAUAAGGAAUGCAAACAUCCAGGGUCAGGUGAGGGCAUGAACAACGGAAAGCCAACUGCUGAAACCUGGCCGUGGUUUGUCCUGAUGGAUGAGAUGUUGGGUCAGAGGCCUUCCAUUUCUCCCCCUGUUCUCAUUUCUUCACU
Molecule: long non-coding RNA, 792 nt
Organism: Carassius auratus (goldfish)
Lineage: Eukaryota; Metazoa; Chordata; Actinopteri; Cypriniformes; Cyprinidae
Exons: 4
Source: RefSeq, a predicted model, not a curated record